This 244-nucleotide long non-coding RNA is filed under the name Homo sapiens (human). RNAcentral's name for it is "LHRI_LNC1782.1". The record is from RNAcentral. Lineage: Eukaryota; Metazoa; Chordata; Mammalia; Primates; Hominidae.
CUGGGCUCCUGAGUCUGGUGGGGACGUGGAGAGUCUUUAUGUCUAGCUCAGGGAUUGUAAAUACACCAAUCAGCACCCUGUGUUUAGCUCAAGGUUUGUGAGUGCACCAAUCAACACUCUGUAUCUAGCUGCUCUGGUGGGGCCUUGGAGAACCUGUGUGUCGAAACUCUGUAUCUAACUAAUCUGAUGGGGACGUGGAGAACCUUUGUAUCUAGCUCAGGGAUUGUAAACGCACCAAUCAGCG